AGGGCGAAAAGGAGCCUGCGAAAUGAGAGAGAAGGGUGAUCACAGGAAGGAAAAGGGCGGAAAAACUCAACAGGCUCUGGAAGCUUUCCGCCAGAGAGGAUCUUGGAGAUUAGGUACUCUGAAAGAGCAUCAAGAAAAUCUGACUGAAAAAAGAUUGACUGAGAUGGGCGCUGGAGUAUAAGCCAGAGUUUCACAGGUACUUAUCAUCCCUGCACAAGCCUUUGCAUCUUGAAAAUCCACCAGUUUUAUAGCACUCUGAAAAAAUUCCUUGUUGCCAUGGAGAUACUGUUCUUUCACAGUGAAUCCUUCUUGAAGUGAGGAAUCUGAGGCCCAGAGAGAUUAAGAAGCUUCACAAGUGACAUGACUUGUGCCAAAUCACAAGGUCAUUUAGUUGCAGAACUGGGACAGGAAUUCAUGCCCAGUUCUCUUUUCAAAACCCUGUGGAAAAAAGCAGCACAUUGAAUUUAGCCUUUGAUUCGUCAUCAGCAUUAUCAGAGGACUCCUACAUCAGAUUACCAAUGCACUUUGUCAUAAAUAUUUCGGAAUGCCUAUGAGAAAAAGAAUAAAGCUAAAUCAAGUCCAGAAUACAGAGACAAAUUACUGCUGCAUUUACAGAGUUCUCAACAUUCAUCAAAUUAUACAAUAGUCAGAGGAGUUUCCUGUGGAUAUAAGGUCCAUUUGAAUCCUUAAGAAAAAGAGUGGAUAUUGAAGAAAUAUGUUCUUUAUUCUGAGCAAAAAAGCCAGCAAAAAAGAUAAUGGAUUUGCCAAAAUAUAUCACGACAAU
RNAcentral lists this long non-coding RNA (784 nucleotides) under Pan troglodytes (chimpanzee). RNAcentral describes it as "long non-coding RNA NONPTRT011669". The record is from RNAcentral. Lineage: Eukaryota; Metazoa; Chordata; Mammalia; Primates; Hominidae.